Molecule: ribosomal RNA, 253 nt
Filed under: uncultured bacterium
Lineage: Bacteria
Description: partial 16S ribosomal RNA
Rfam family: Bacterial small subunit ribosomal RNA
Source: RNAcentral
UACGAAGGGGGCUAGCGUUGUUCGGAAUCACUGGGCGUAAAGGGCGCGUAGGCGGCCGAUCAAGUCGGGGGUGAAAGCCUGUGGCUCAACCACAGAAUUGCCUUCGAUACUGUUUGGCUUGAGACCGGAAGAGGUUAGUGGAACUGCGAGUGUAGAGGUGAAAUUCGUAGAUAUUCGCAAGAACACCAGUAGCGAAGGCGGCUGACUGGUCCGGUUCUGACGCUGAGGCGCGAAAGCGUGGGGAGCAAACAGG